AGAGUUUGAUCCUGGCUCAGGACGAACGCUGGCGGCGCGCCUAACACAUGCAAGUCGAACGAGCGAGAGAGAGCUUGCUUUCUCAAGCGAGUGGCGAACGGGUGAGUAACGCGUGAGGAACCUGCCUCAAAGAGGGGGACAACAGUUGGAAACGACUGCUAAUACCGCAUAAGCCCACAGCUCGGCAUCGAGCAGAGGGAAAAGGAGCAAUCCGCUUUGAGAUGGCCUCGCGUCCGAUUAGCUAGUUGGUGAGGUAAUGGCCCACCAAGGCGACGAUCGGUAGCCGGACUGAGAGGUUGAACGGCCACAUUGGGACUGAGACACGGCCCAGACUCCUACGGGAGGCAGCAGUGGGGAAUAUUGCACAAUGGGGGAAACCCUGAUGCAGCGACGCCGCGUGGAGGAAGAAGGUCUUCGGAUUGUAAACUCCUGUUGUUGAGGAAGAUAAUGACGGUACUCAACAAGGAAGUGACGGCUAACUACGUGCCAGCAGCCGCGGUAAAACGUAGGUCACAAGCGUUGUCCGGAAUUACUGGGUGUAAAGGGAGCGCAGGCGGGAAGACAAGUUGGAAGUGAAAUCUAUGGGCUCAACCCAUAAACUGCUUUCAAAACUGUUUUUCUUGAGUAGUGCAGAGGUAGGCGGAAUUCCCGGUGUAGCGGUGGAAUGCGUAGAUAUCGGGAGGAACACCAGUGGCGAAGGCGGCCUACUGGGCACCAACUGACGCUGAGGCUCGAAAGUGUGGGUAGCAAACAGGAUUAGAUACCCUGGUAGUCCACACCGUAAACGAUGAUUACUAGGUGUUGGAGGAUUGACCCCUUCAGUGCCGCAGUUAACACAAUAAGUAAUCCACCUGGGGAGUACGACCGCAAGGUUGAAACUCAAAGGAAUUGACGGGGGCCCGCACAAGCAGUGGAGUAUGUGGUUUAAUUCGACGCAACGCGAAGAACCUUACCAAGUCUUGACAUCCUGCGACGGACAUAGAAAUAUGUCUUUCCUUCGGGACGCAGAGACAGGUGGUGCAUGGUUGUCGUCAGCUCGUGUCGUGAGAUGUUGGGUUAAGUCCCGCAACGAGCGCAACCCUUACUGUCAGUUACUACGCAAGAGGACUCUGGCAGGACUGCCGUUGACAAAACGGAGGAAGGUGGGGAUGACGUCAAAUCAUCAUGCCCUUUAUGACUUGGGCUACACACGUACUACAAUGGCGUUAAACAAAGAGAAGCAAGACCGCGAGGUGGAGCAAAACUCAGAAACAACGUCCCAGUUCGGACUGCAGGCUGCAACUCGCCUGCACGAAGUCGGAAUUGCUAGUAAUCGUGGAUCAGCAUGCCACGGUGAAUACGUUCNCCGGGCCCUUGUACACACCGCCCGUNNC
RNAcentral lists this ribosomal RNA (1373 nucleotides) under uncultured bacterium. RNAcentral's name for it is "bacterial SSU rRNA". It matches the Rfam family "Bacterial small subunit ribosomal RNA". The record is from RNAcentral.